GAGCAAGUCGGACCUCUCAGAGUGUGG
Molecule: non-coding RNA, 27 nt
Filed under: Cricetulus griseus (Chinese hamster)
Lineage: Eukaryota; Metazoa; Chordata; Mammalia; Rodentia; Cricetidae
Source: RNAcentral